AUGUCGCCCUUGGAGGACACCUCACUUCCCUUCAAGCUUAAGAUAAAACAGUUCCCCAUCCGCCUGAGUUUUGCGAUGACCAUUAACAAGACACAGGGUCAAACCAUCCCAAAUGUCAGUAUUUACCUUCCAGAACCUGUUUUCUCACAUGGCCAACUAUAUGUUGCAUUGUCAAGGGGUGUCUCAAGAAAGAAGACACGGAUUUUAGCCAAGCCUAACAAGGAGGUUGAUAAAUCUGGGAGAAGCACCAAAAACAUUGUCUAUAGAGAUGUUUUAGAGGGGUGA
RNAcentral lists this ribosomal RNA (285 nucleotides) under Triticum aestivum (bread wheat). RNAcentral describes it as "partial small subunit ribosomal RNA". The record is from RNAcentral. Lineage: Eukaryota; Viridiplantae; Streptophyta; Magnoliopsida; Poales; Poaceae.